CACGGGAUAGCGUAGAUGGCUAACGCGUCAGGCUCAUAACCUGAAGAACGUGGGUUCGACUCCCACUCCCGUGA
Molecule: transfer RNA, 74 nt
Filed under: Caldilineaceae bacterium
Lineage: Bacteria; Bacillati; Chloroflexota; Caldilineae; Caldilineales; Caldilineaceae
Description: tRNA-Ile
Rfam family: tRNA
About the family: Transfer RNA (tRNA) molecules are approximately 80 nucleotides in length. Their secondary structure includes four short double-helical elements and three loops (D, anti-codon, and T loops).
Source: RNAcentral